RNAcentral lists this ribosomal RNA (575 nucleotides) under uncultured bacterium. RNAcentral's name for it is "bacterial SSU rRNA". It matches the Rfam family "Bacterial small subunit ribosomal RNA", at positions 416 to 982 of the family's 1533-position model. The record is from RNAcentral.
CUUUUGGUUGUAAAGCACUUUAAGCGAGGAGGAGGCUACCGAGAUUAAUACUCUUGGAUAGUGGACGUUACUCGCAGAAUAAGCACCGGCUAACUCUGUGCCAGCAGCCGCGGUAAUACAGAGGGUGCAAGCGUUAAUCGGAUUUACUGGGCGUAAAGCGCGCGUAGGUGGCCAAUUAAGUCAAAUGUGAAAUCCCCGAGCUUAACUUGGGAAUUGCAUUCGAUACUGGUUGGCUAGAGUAUGGGAGAGGAUGGUAGAAUUCCAGGUGUAGCGGUGAAAUGCGUAGAGAUCUGGAGGAAUACCGAUGGCGAAGGCAGCCAUCUGGCCUAAUACUGACACUGAGGUGCGAAAGCAUGGGGAGCAAACAGGAUUAGAUACCCUGGUAGUCCAUGCCGUAAACGAUGUCUACUAGCCGUUGGGGCCUUUGAGGCUUUAGUGGCGCAGCUAACGCGAUAAGUAGACCGCCUGGGGAGUACGGUCGCAAGACUAAAACUCAAAUGAAUUGACGGGGGCCCGCACAAGCGGUGGAGCAUGUGGUUUAAUUCGAUGCAACGCGAAGAACCUUACCUGGUCUU